Molecule: long non-coding RNA, 4532 nt
Organism: Serinus canaria (Common canary)
Lineage: Eukaryota; Metazoa; Chordata; Aves; Passeriformes; Fringillidae
Exons: 2
Source: RefSeq, a predicted model, not a curated record
UUUGGCUUUUAAUUGGGUAGAAGCAGAGGAUUUAUUUAAAAUACUAUAGGUGUUACAAAAGUAAAAAUCCUAACACAGAAAUAUAUAAUCAAUAUAUGAAAAUACAUAAAAAUAUGUAUAAAAAUAUAUAAAGAAAUCUAAGUAAUAGGAAAACAUGUAAUACAGAACAUAAUUUUACUUUAAAUAAAAACGUAUAACUAAACAAUAUACAUCAAUAUUCAAUAUAAAUAAAAGUGUGAAUAUAAAUAUAAAAAAUAUUUUUUAGGUAUUUAAUUUUUUAAAUAAACUUUUGGGGAAUUUUUUGAUGCUAUUGGGUGAGAGGCGGGGGGGGCUUUUUUGCCUUCCAGCUUGUUUUUUGGCAUUUAUUUCAGAGGAGUUUUGGCGGGGGCCGCCCCCGUUCUCUUUCGCCGCCUUCCCCGCCCGCAGCCCCGAGGCGCGCGGCUGCCCCCGGCUGGGGCGGGCGGCGGUGCUGCCGCCUUGUGGUCAGAGCGCGGUACUGCAGCCACGCACGGGCAGGCAGCCGGGGCUGCCGCCAUGUUGGGAGUGGCGUGUCGGGAAUGUCGCGGACCUUCUUUGACCUUCUCAAAAAGGCGCCUAAAAGGGUGGGAAAAGUGAGGACCCGCGAUGCGUCUAACCGAACUGCCUGCACAGCACGCCGACUCAGCCGCCGGCGCGGCUCACACGGGGUUUUCUGUGGCGUUUCAAGUGCCGCGGACACGGGCAGUGGGCCGUGCGGCGCCGCGAGCGGGCGUAUUUUGGCAAGUUUCGGACAGGCAUCUGCGUAAACGCCCCUCUCAGCCGGGGUCCUCUAACUCGCUUUCCCCCCCUCGGGGAGCCGGGCCGCAUCGAAUUCAUCCGAAGUGCCGAAUCUAGACGACUGUAGCCGGAAAUAGCCGGAAAUAGCCGGAAAUAGCCGGAAAUAGCCGGAAAUAGCCGGGUGUAUACGAAAAUAGCCGAGUUUAGCCGAGCAGCCGAAAACAGCCGAGUGUAUGCGAAAAUAGCCGAGUUUAGCCGAGCAGCCGAAAACAGCCGAGUGUAUGCGAAAAUAGCCGAGUUUAGCCGAGCAGCCGAAAACAGCCGAGUGUAUGCGAAAAUAGCCGAGUUUAGCCGAGCAGCCGAAAACUGCCGAGUGUAUGCGAAAAUAGCCGAGUUUAGCCGAGCAGCCGAAAACUGCCGAGUGUAUGCGAAAAUAGCCGAGUUUAGCCGAAGACCAAAACAAGCCGAAAAUAGCCGAGUUUAGCCGAAGACCAGAAACAAGCCGAAAAUAGCCGAGUUUAGCCGAAGACCAGAAACAAGCCGAAAAUAGCCGAAUUUAAACGAAGAACCGAUGAUAGCCGCUUGUCGCCGAUAAUAGCCGAGCGUAUCCGACAUUAGCCGUGUUUGGACAAAGAGCCGAAUAUGAAGGAGUUUAACCAAAGAGCCGAAACAAGCUGAAUUUAGACGAAGAGGCGAACCAAGCCGAAUUUAGCUGAGUUUAAUUCAGCAGAACGGAACGACGCCGCCUUCGGCCGAAUCGAACGGGCUCAGCCGAACCAAGUCGAGACCAGAAAAACCUUACGACCGUACAAGACGGAGGCGCCGUGGCCGUCACUCGGCGCCGCACAAGACAGCGGCGCCCGGGCCGUCACGUGGUUUUGUACAAGUCGGUGGCGCAUUGGCCGUCAGGGUGGGCCCCACAAGAUGGCGGCUCCCUGGCCGGCAAUCGGCGCCGUACAAUAUGGCGACGGCCUAUCGCGUCACGUUGUUCCGUACAAGAUGGCGGGGCUCGGGUGGUUACGGGGUGCCGUACAAAUAGGCGGUGGCUUGACCAUAACGGGGUUCCGUACAAUAUGGCGACGGCCACCCGCGUCACGUGACACCGGACAAAGAUGGCGGCUUUCGGGGCCGAGUCUUUUUUCGGUUUGUGGCGCUUUUCCGUGCCUUCCGCGGGUCGCCGGCGGCGGUGAUGGCAUUCCGGUUCGCCUGGCGCGGGCAGCGUUGCGGGAAAUUGUUUCUAGGCCGCGGUGUUGGUGUGGGCAUUUUGAUCAGGCAGCCGUCAGUUCGGCUACGCCUUGGAAUCCUUCCCAAGGCGCUGGAGGCGCGGUCGGGGCGGGGCGCCGUGUCGAUGAGGUGACGUCAUCGGGCGGUGCUUUCUUAGCAGUGUGCCCAGUCGGACGGCAGGGGGCGCUGUGCCUGUAGCGCGCCGGGGCAGACGGCAGGGGGCGCUGUGCCUGUAGCGCGCCGGGGCAGACGGCAGGGGGCGCUGUGCGGGCUCGCAGGGGACGGGUCCGGGGCGGGACGCACUGCGGGCGGCGAGGUUUUGGUGAGGGGUGCGCUUGGUGGUGACUGAGAGCUCUGGUGAUGGAUUGCCGGUUUAUGCAAUUACAUAAUCGUGAUGCAGUUGCCUCUUAGGUGUGUCAUUAUUUGACUGGUAACGUAGAAGGGAGUAGUGGUGCUGUGGUUAAUGGAUAUUGCUAUUCGUUACUGAGAGAUGGAGCAGUAACUGGGGCCCUAUAAAGUAUAUACUAAAAGGAAUAAAAGUUAUAUGUCUGCUGCAGCAGUAGAAAAUUUCAGGCUCCCAGGCAGUAAAUAGUUUUCUUUAAAUCAUUAUAAUUUGGGGGUUUUUUACUCCCAUGUAGCCUGAAAUUUUCUACUGCUGUUUUUUUAUUCUAAAGCUAAAAAGGAAAAUAGAGUUAGAACUACAGGGACAGAAAGAAGGAAAGAAAGGAAGGAGGAAAGAAAAGAAGGAAAGGAAGAAUUGAAGGAAGAAAGGAAGCAAGAAAAGAAGGAAAGGAAGAAUUGAAAAAGGGAAGAAAAGAGGGAAAGCAAGAACUGAAGGAAGAAAGGAACGAGGAAAGAAAAGAAGGAAAGGAAAAAUUGAAUGAAGAAAGAAAGGGAGGAAGGAGGAAAGAAAGGAAGAAGAACAGGAAAAUUUGAAGAAAGAAAGGAAGGAGGAAAGGAAGAAUUGGAGAAAGGAAGGAAGGAGGAAAGGAAGAAGGAUGAAAGAAAUUAAGAGAAAGAAAGAAAGAAAGAAAAGUUCUUGGGUAGUAUAUUUACUACAUAUUUCCUCAGAGCAAAGGCCAUCUGCAGUUGGUGGGUUGUUCUCCCAGCUUGGAACACUGCACACUCUCUACAGCUUCCACGGAUUGUCGUCCAUGGUUGUGGAUUGGGAACGUUGCCAGGGUGGGCAUCACGGAGGGAGCGUGGUCACACUGGGAGGUUUUCUGACACUACAACACUCCCUCUAAGAAACUUCCCCUUCAAGGACUAAAACAGAACAAAAGGUGUGAAAGAAAUGUAAUUCCAAGAGGGAAAACAGCCUGCAAAACACAAGUCCACGGGGGCCUGGAUGCUGAUCCCUACUGCUGGUCAGUGAGAGAGUCUGACAGCUGUUUCUGUAUUCCUGACCUCCAUUUACAUCGGGGACGCGUGGCUUGGAGCACAGGAGCGGAUAUGUCACUUACCCGUGUCAGGUUGGUGCAGGUUACGAAUUGCAGGGUGACUUGGAAACUCGGAAACAAAGGGAAAAAACUGGUAUGGCUCUUAGCAAAAAAAAAUGGCUACAUCGGGGCAACAAUUCAGGGGACUGACAUUCAUCUUUAACGUUCUUCUGUGCUCCGUCCUCACCACCGUGAGCCCUGAAAGCCUCCUGAGCCGUUCUCACACAGGCCUGCCUUGUUUGGCCACAAAAAUCAGUAUUUUAUUACUGUGUGCAAACUCGGGGGAAUGUUUUAUUCAACAUCUCUCAGAAGGACAUUAAAGCUCCAGUGUCCCAUUUCUUGAACAGUCUGAAAGACAGUACUACUUAUAUAAUUUUUAUUACAAGGAUUUUUAUCUUUUUGAAGAACAGAAAGACUGCUUGUGCAUGUGUGUGCCCUAAGUAUCCAUCCUCUCUCUAAUACAGGACGGAAAAAAAGGCUGCAGAGCUUCCUACAAUGGGUGUAAGUGUGAAGAACGAGGAGACAGAGGAAGACUGGACUCGGGAAUCUGGACGGUCUUCCAGGGUUUAAUAAGCUUGAAUGGCACUUCAAGACAUUUACAUCAGACCUGGUUUAUUUUUAUUACCAUUCUUUAAAAUUAAAAAAACACAAAAACCCCCUGAUCCAUCGCUGCUGCUGCCAUGUGUGACAUAAACCCAUCUUCCCUCUGCCUGGAACAGGUGAGAAAUGGAACUAAACCCCCAAGGAUUUUCUGCUCAGUGAUUAUACCUGAGUUUUAUUGGGAACUCGCUGAGAAAUCUCAUGCAUUGUUCUUCAAUGUGGCCGUGAGGGGAGCUGGGCAUGACAGUCCAGACCUGCCAACAUGCAGUGCCAGAGUGAGAACCUUUGAAUCGUAACCCAGGAUUUAUUCCAUUGAAUCACAACUGUGUACUGUGCCCAGGACCUUUGUACAAAUAGUGUACGGGGAAAAACCAGAAUUGCCCAUUGCUUGUGAUGGGUAUGGAAUUUGGGGGCGUUGGCGCGGCGGGGUUUGUACAUGUAAAUAUUCUUAUCCUAAAGGAGCCCUCAGCUCCGUCCCGAGAGUUGAGUUAAAACUACGUUUCUUUAAAAACC